RNAcentral lists this ribosomal RNA (377 nucleotides) under uncultured bacterium. RNAcentral's name for it is "bacterial SSU rRNA". It matches the Rfam family "Bacterial small subunit ribosomal RNA", at positions 523 to 898 of the family's 1533-position model. The record is from RNAcentral.
AAACAGAGGAUGCAAGCGUUAUCCGGAAUUAUUGGGCGUAAAGUGUCUGUAGGUGGCUUUUCAAGUCCGUCGUCAAAUCCCAGGGCUCAACCCUGGACAGGCGGUGGAAACUAUCAAGCUAGAGUACGGUAGAGGCAGAGGGAAUUUCCGGUGGAGCGGUGAAAUGCGUUGAGAUCGGGAGGAACACCAAGGGCGAAAGCACUCUGCUGGGCCGUUACUGACACUCAGAGACGAAAGCUAGGGGAGCAAAUGGGAUUAGAUACCCCAGUAGUCCUAGCCGUAAACGAUGGAUACUAGGUGCUGUGCGUAUCGACCCGUAUAGUACUGCAGCUAACGCGUUAAGUAUCCCGCCUGGGAAGUACGUUCGCAAGAAUGAA